This is a long non-coding RNA of Diospyros lotus (date-plum), 1162 nucleotides long. RefSeq lists it as uncharacterized. The transcript has 3 exons. The record is from RefSeq and is a predicted model, not a curated record. Lineage: Eukaryota; Viridiplantae; Streptophyta; Magnoliopsida; Ericales; Ebenaceae.
UCUCUCAACAGCCUAGGUUGGGUUCAAUGAACCUGCAUUGCAUUGUUACGAAGCCCCCAAACUCAAAUCUCUCUCUCUCUCUCUCUCUCUUCCUCAUUUUCAUUUUCCCAAUCGGCACCCUUCUCCCAUAUCGCCUCCAUCGCCGGGCUGGGCCCUCUUGCCCUUCCUUCUCCCUCGGCGUUGAAGAGUGAAUCAAAAUUUCAUACGGGUAUCUUUUUGGGAUGCAAAUGAAAUCAUCUAACGUAAUUACUCCGGAGGAUGUUCUGGAGAGUUUGACGAAUGACGGAACCAUCGAUGCCUUGAGACUGAAGAUUAUCAACCAGCUCAAAGGUAAUAAUUGCAGAUUAAUUUUUCAUGACGAACCAGUUUCUCUUGCAUCAUAUAUACUGGAUGGCAUCGAUUUAUUAUCUUCUUGUUGUCUUGCAAGACUUUAGUGCUCGAGAUGGCCUCCAAAUCAGUUUAGGAGUUGAUUUUGGACAGCAGCGGGCUGGGUAAGGAGAUAAAUGAAACAGUUGAAGGGGUAUUCUGCUGAUUAAGUGGCGUUGAGCCUCCAUAAAAUGCUGAAACCUAACUGAAGAAACAACAAGAGAAAGAGAGCUCGAGAGGCAAGGGAAAAGAGAUGGAGAAGGGAAAGGAGAAUUCAGAUUCCGCAGCAAAGAAAAGAGGAUUUGAGGCAAUGAAGUGCGAAGUGGGAGCAACUGAAGCUCCAAGUGGUUCUAGCUAGCCUGUCGAUGUGCCAGAUGAUUCCAGUAAGGUGCCUCUUAAUUAGCCAAGUGCAACAAUCCCAGAGUUUUGCAGAUGUAGAGUGAGUUAGUUGCAUGCAACUGAGCUAGCUUGGUAGUCCAAAGAUUAUCAACUUCUGUAUUUUGUUUUACAGUAAGUGACAACAUAGUUUACCCUGCCGGCGGACUCAAGAGAGAGUAGGCGAAACCUCAAGCCUUGUGCUCUUGCCAUAGCCAAGCUGAUAAAGCGAGCUUUUUAACUCAAUAAGUAUUAUAUUAAUUAUGUAUGCUGCUAUUUGUUCUGACCAGCUUGUAAUUCUCUUCUAAGGGUGGUCACUUUACCCUACCCAAUAUUAGCUUAAAUUAGAGUCCUAUAAUUACAAAGUUGUACAAGGAAGGGAGGGUUGGGUGUAAGAAAGAGAAACUGAUUAAUUUGAUCU